GGGAGCCGGCAGAGCAAACACGGCGAGGGGCGGGCAGAUGAGGGCUUUUUUAAUCGCCCUCUUCCCAGGCCUCGCUGCGUGGGGUUGAGUUUUUCGCCACCUGCUUGAAUGCCAGCGGCUGAUUCACGUUUUCAAAGGAAAAAAAAAAAAAAAUUCUUACAGCCUCUGUUGCCCGUCAGCUUCGAAACCAGGCGUGAAUUUGCCGCCCCAGAGUUAAGGCAACGGACACAACUCUACCAAGCACUGGCGUUGCCGCCUGUGCAGGUGCUUUCCGUGGGGUGUUUCUUUGAAGAGCUAUAGCAAGAGGAGCAACCUGGUGACCUGUGCCGCUGCGUUCCCCGCUCCCUGGUCCAACCAUCCAGCGCCUUGAGGAAGUGCUGAGGGACUCAGGAGGGGUCCUGCUCCCUGGCUGCUGGCUGCCUUUCGCCCAAGGCUUCCGAGAACAAGAAACUGCAGCAAGACAUCUCAAAGCUGCUUUACCGCUUGAAGAGUACUCAUAGUUUGGGGGAAUGGAAGCACCGCUUGCUCUAGCCCCGAGCUGUCGCUCUCUCUCUUGAUCACCUCCAUCGCUUAGGACUGAACGGCUACGGCGAGCCCACCGCCGGGAUACGACAUCCUCCAGUUGCCCGACUCAGCUACCGCCUGGAAGCUCCUGGCCGACAUCAACUCUACAAAAGCCACUGCGGGAACUCUCCAGGAGCGGAGCUGCUCCUGGUCCGGUUCUGCAGUACAUUCGUCCCCUUCUGACAGAGCGGUAACCGGGCCCAGAAAUGGGGCUCUCACCCUCGCCCCGAAGGCGAGCGCUUGAAGGGAGCCCCCGCGGCCGAACCCUGAACCUCCUUAAGAGACCAGGAAGGGGAGGAGGAAGCCUUGCCUGGCU
Egretta garzetta (little egret) is the source of this 880-nucleotide long non-coding RNA. RefSeq lists it as uncharacterized. The transcript is spliced from 3 exons. NCBI's taxonomy places the organism in Eukaryota, Metazoa, Chordata, Aves, Pelecaniformes, Ardeidae. The record is from RefSeq and is a predicted model, not a curated record.